RNAcentral lists this ribosomal RNA (472 nucleotides) under uncultured bacterium. Its description in RNAcentral is "bacterial SSU rRNA". It matches the Rfam family "Bacterial small subunit ribosomal RNA", at positions 355 to 825 of the family's 1533-position model. The record is from RNAcentral.
UGGGGAAUUUUGGACAAUGGGGGCAACCCUGAUCCAGCCAUGCCGCGUGAGUGAAGAAGGCCUUCGGGUUGUAAAGCUCUUUCGGCGGGGACGAAACGGUCCGUGACAACACCACGGACUAAUGACAGUACUCGCAGAAGAAGCACCGGCUAACUACGUGCCAGCAGCCGCGGUAAUACGUAGGGUGCAGGCGUUAAUCGGAAUUACUGGGCGUAAAGCGUGCGCAGGCGGUUGUGUAAGUCAGAUGUGAAAUCCCCGGGCUCAACCUGGGAAUUGCAUUUGAGACUGCACGGCUAGAGUGUGUCAGAGGGGGGUAGAAUUCCACGUGUAGCAGUGAAAUGCGUAGAUAUGUGGAGGAAUACCGAUGGCGAAGGCAGCCCCCUGGGAUAACACUGACGCUCAUGCACGAAAGCGUGGGGAGCAAACAGGAUUAGAUACCCCUGUAGUCCCUGAGCGGGCUGGCAAGGCGCAU